CAAGCAGUAGCCAAGAGGCCGAAGGCGAUGGUCUGCAAAACCGUCGAGCGCAUGCUCCGCGCGAGUUCGAAUCUCGCCUGCUUGUCCA
RNAcentral lists this transfer RNA (88 nucleotides) under Burkholderiaceae bacterium. Its description in RNAcentral is "tRNA-Cys". It matches the Rfam family "tRNA". Rfam says of the family: Transfer RNA (tRNA) molecules are approximately 80 nucleotides in length. The record is from RNAcentral. Lineage: Bacteria; Pseudomonadati; Pseudomonadota; Betaproteobacteria; Burkholderiales; Burkholderiaceae.